UAAUUGUUGUAUAUAAUAACAAUGUAUUAAGGCUGAAUCUGUAACUCUAUAGUUUUUAUUAACUUUGUUUAUCUUCCAUUUUCACUAAAUGCUCUCAAUGCUCCCACUGUAGCAAGGAGCAAGCAGACAGCAUUAGAAGUUAGUUUUUGAAGACUGUGGAGCGUUUAGCAACAAAAGAAUCAAAUCUGAAGUUUGCAAAGAUCUAAAAGAGUGAAUUGUUCACUCUUUCAUUCAUCAAAUCACAAGAAACAUAACAAAAAAUGUUAAUGCUGCACCAUAACUGCUGAAUGUGUAAACAAGAAACUAAGUGUUGUUUGAUUCUGCUCCCUUCUUAAUCCUGGUACCUUUUAUUCCCCAGUGAGACUGCAGACACCCAGCAUCUCCCUGACCUCUCCUAGUGCAGGUCUGGUCUGGGGUCCUGAAGGUCAGAGAUCACCAGGGGUUACAGUUUGUCCUCACCUGCUCCGUUAACUCCAGAUUUUCCAGUGGACGUUUCUUCUCAUCUUCUCUGACUCCAACAUCACAGACAGCAAGCCAGCAGUCAACAACUCAGCCUCCUUUAGUUUCCCUGUAGCUGAGUAUGAACACCAAGGCAACUACAGCUGUGUGUAUGAAGUCACAGUGUCCACACGGACAUUCAAUUCUACUGCAACAGCACCCAUUACUGUCAUCAUUAAAUUUCCUUGGAUGCUGCUGGUCUCGUCUGUAGUUCCUGUGGUCCUGCUGCUCCUGCUGGUCUCGUUGGUGGUGUUACUGGUGCCCAGGAGAAGGAGACAAACACAGCAGGCCCACAUCCACACCACAGUGACUCUAAAAUCCUGCAAUGAAGAAGAUGACAUCAGUGACGAGGAGAGGAUCUAUUUGAAUGUUGAGACACUGAACACCUACAGGAAUUUUACCAAACAACUGGAAGGAGCGGAGAGAGAGGAAACAGAGGAGAAGAGAUAAAAUCCCAUCAAUAGAAGUGAUUUUAGUCUAAAUUGAGCUGUACAUAUAUAGUACGUACAUUUUUUUAAAGUAUAGAGUAAAAGAAUACAUAAAGCAAAGUUGUUUUUAUUGUGAAGCCUGAAAAAGAUUUGUCUUUUAGAUGAUUAGUAAAAUGAUAUAAUGCAAGUAAUUUGCAAUAAAAACAAAAAACAACUUGUUCUUGGAGUAUUUGGAAAUUAAUUACACAAUAUAACUGCUACUAUCUCCAAAACAGUGACCUACAGCACACACCUGUAUUUAUUAUUCAGGCCACUCACCUGUCUGACUGUUACAUACAUACAGUCUUGGUCUUCGACAUCAUCAUGUAGAAUAUAUCUUUAGCCUAAAACAGAUACACACAAGCCUGGAUGCAUUAUGGCACCUUUUAACCAAUAGCUUCCCCUUUCCUGGCGUCAAACCACCUCUUUUCUGUGAACCAUUUCUGAAAAACUCAAAUGA
RNAcentral lists this long non-coding RNA (1425 nucleotides) under Oreochromis niloticus (Nile tilapia). RNAcentral's name for it is "lncRNA (ENSONIG00000039309.1)". Lineage: Eukaryota; Metazoa; Chordata; Actinopteri; Cichliformes; Cichlidae. The record is from RNAcentral.